UUGCUCUCUGAUUCAGCGGCGGACGGGUGAGUAAUGCCUAGGAAUCUGCCUGGUAGUGGGGGACAACGUCUCGAAAGGGACGCUAAUACCGCAUACGUCCUACGGGAGAAAGCAGGGGACCUUCGGGCCUUGCGCUAUCAGAUGAGCCUAGGUCGGAUUAGCUAGUUGGUGAGGUAAUGGCUCACCAAGGCGACGAUCCGUAACUGGUCUGAGAGGAUGAUCAGUCACACUGGAACUGAGACACGGUCCAGACUCCUACGGGAGGCAGCAGUGGGGAAUAUUGGACAAUGGGCGAAAGCCUGAUCCAGCCAUGCCGCGUGUGUGAAGAAGGUCUUCGGAUUGUAAAGCACUUUAAGUUGGGAGGAAGGGCAGUAACUUAAUACGUUGCUGUUUUGACGUUACCGACAGAAUAAGCACCGGCUAACUCUGUGCCAGCAGCCGCGGUAAUACAGAGGGUGCAAGCGUUAAUCGGAAUUACUGGGCGUAAAGCGCGCGUAGGUGGUUUGUUAAGUUGGAUGUGAAAGCCCCGGGCUCAACCUGGGAACUGCAUUCAAAACUGACAAGCUAGAGUAUGGUAGAGGGUGGUGGAAUUUCCUGUGUA
Molecule: ribosomal RNA, 601 nt
Filed under: Pseudomonas sp. SA002
Lineage: Bacteria; Pseudomonadati; Pseudomonadota; Gammaproteobacteria; Pseudomonadales; Pseudomonadaceae
Description: bacterial SSU rRNA
Rfam family: Bacterial small subunit ribosomal RNA
Source: RNAcentral